CGGAGGAGGCGGAGGCGGCGGGCAGGCCGGGGACGGGGACGGGGUCGCCGGGCCCCUUGGGUGAAUCCCCGCUGCCCCGGGGACCCCCCUCCCGGGCACCGCCGACCUCCAGCCGGCCGGCACCAUGAGGCCCCGUCCCCUGCCUCCGGGUCCCCUGCUCCCAGCCAGCGCCACCGCGGAGCCCCGGGGGCAGCGGGAGAUGGGGAGAAUGCCGCCUGGGCUGGGUGAGUUCGGGGCUCUGGUGCCGCUGGAAUUUCCCAUUGUCGCGCACGGUGGCGCAACCCCUGGACCUGCGAGUGCCUCCUCCCUCCGGAGGUGUGCGGAGGCUUUGUGUGCCAGGGAUCAGAGAGACAAGGCUGCAGGAGCCCCUUCUUCUGCUCUUACCCCACUGUUGGCAUUUGAGAAGCUAUUGGAGUUCAGUAAUCCUGACCAACUGGCUUUUUCUCCUGGACUCAUGAACAGUGUACCUAAAACAAGGCUCCUCAUCUGUCCAGGAGAGAGGGGAGAAGGGCACUGAUCCUGAAGCACUAGGUGAGGACCAGAGUUCCUGAGUGUGGGACACAGCACAGUGCCUGGCACACAGUAGAAUGGUUUGUCUCCUGGAUCUGUGACUGGGAACCUGAUUGGUGUGGCAGGAGGAUGAGACAACUUGAAGCUGAGCGAAGGUUGCUGAAUAGACUCCUUAGAG
Molecule: long non-coding RNA, 688 nt
Filed under: Heterocephalus glaber (naked mole-rat)
Lineage: Eukaryota; Metazoa; Chordata; Mammalia; Rodentia; Bathyergidae
Description: lncRNA (ENSHGLG00000038788.1)
Source: RNAcentral